RNAcentral lists this ribosomal RNA (467 nucleotides) under uncultured bacterium. RNAcentral's name for it is "partial 16S ribosomal RNA". It matches the Rfam family "Bacterial small subunit ribosomal RNA", at positions 28 to 507 of the family's 1533-position model. The record is from RNAcentral.
GACGAACGCUGGCGGCGUGCUUAACACAUGCAAGUCGAACGGAAAGGCCCUGCUUUUGUGGGGUGCUCGAGUGGCGAACGGGUGAGUAACACGUGAGUAACCUGCCCUUGACUUUGGGAUAACUUCAGGAAACUGGGGCUAAUACCGGAUAGGAGCUCCUGCUGCAUGGUGGGGGUUGGAAAGUUUCGGCGGUUGGGGAUGGACUCGCGGCUUAGCAGCUUGUUGGUGGGGUAGUGGCGUACCAAGGCUUUGACGGGUAGCCGGCCUGAGAGGGUGACCGGCAACAUUGGGACUGAGAAACGGCCCAGCGCCCUACGGGGGGCGGCAGUGGGGAAUAGGCACAAUGGGCGGAAGCCUGAUGCAGCAACGCCGCGUGCGGGAUGACGGCCUUCGAGUUGUAAACCGCUUUCGCCUGUGACGAAGCGUGAGUGACGGUAAUGGGUAAAGAAGCACCGGCUAACUACGUG